CUAAGUCUAAUCGAAUCUUCCGUUAAUUGGUGGAGCUUUUGGAGGGAACAAACUUCCUCGAACUCUUGGAUAAAAAGAUAAGGAUCCUCACCCUCACUCCCGGUAAAUUUAGGUAACAUGCUAAUGUGGUGAGCUUUGAUUUCAAAAUUGUUCCCAUUUACGGGAGGAAGGGUGAUGCACGAAGGUUGACUUGAACGAGAUGGAUAACAACGAUCCUUGAGUGAAAGGGCCAUGUUUACUAUCGGUUCUAGAACUUCUAGGGUUUCGGAAUCCGAAGAGGACGAGGGAAUCUCGAUUAUAGGUCUUACUAAUCUAGACGAUUCGUUCCUAACCCAAGUAGUUCGCAUAAACUAGAUAGUAAACACGUAGCAAGUAAGUGCGAAAAAUUAAAACACACAAAAGAAAGGGUGUAAAAGAGAAAGAAAAACCUAAAUCUAGGGUUCCCUAAAAAAAAUGAACUAGACCUUGCUCCUAACGUUAAGGACCACCAAAAACUCGAUAAAUCCAAAAUUAUUCGGACCGGUUUGGCCAGUUUGGAGCAGGCAUUGCCAAGAGGCCAAUCUCCGCGCUUAGACACCAAACCUUAAUCGGCCAGGUAAGCUUUCGCUUGCCUUAGACACCGAAAAGUCGGAAUAAUUAAAGAUU
This 645-nucleotide long non-coding RNA is filed under the name Daucus carota (carrot). RNAcentral describes it as "long non-coding RNA (DCAR_LNC005001)". The record is from RNAcentral. Lineage: Eukaryota; Viridiplantae; Streptophyta; Magnoliopsida; Apiales; Apiaceae.